GAGCCGCCAUGAACAACUGGGUUUUGAUUAGAUAAAGUUUAGCCUUCGCUACUUGCUUGUAAACGCGCGUGCUGAUCCAGCCGCCUGUCUUCUUGUUUUCGAAACCCCACUUCAUUAGAGAUUGAGUUUGAAACCUUCAUUUACAUCUGGUAAUUUAGUACUUGUUCUACUUGUUCUUGCUGGUUCUUCGAUUGCUUGCAGGAC
Molecule: long non-coding RNA, 204 nt
Filed under: Sorghum bicolor (sorghum)
Lineage: Eukaryota; Viridiplantae; Streptophyta; Magnoliopsida; Poales; Poaceae
Description: long non-coding RNA (SBIC_LNC018573)
Source: RNAcentral